UACAGGGGGUGCAAACGUUGCUCGGAAUUAUUGGGCGUAAAGCGCACGUAGGCGGCUUUGUAAGUUAGAGGUGAAAGCCCGGGGCUCAACUCCGGAACUGCCUUUAAGACUGCAUCGCUAGAAUUGUGGAGAGGUGAGUGGAAUUCCGAGUGUAGAGGUGAAAUUCGUAGAUAUUCGGAAGAACACCAGUGGCGAAGGCGACUCACUGGACACAUAUUGACGCUGAGGUGCGAAAGCGUGGGGAGCAAACAGG
This 253-nucleotide ribosomal RNA is filed under the name uncultured bacterium. RNAcentral's name for it is "partial 16S ribosomal RNA". It matches the Rfam family "Bacterial small subunit ribosomal RNA", at positions 524 to 776 of the family's 1533-position model. The record is from RNAcentral.